Molecule: ribosomal RNA, 466 nt
Filed under: uncultured bacterium
Lineage: Bacteria
Description: partial 16S ribosomal RNA
Rfam family: Bacterial small subunit ribosomal RNA
Source: RNAcentral
GAUGAACGCUGGCGGCGUGCUUAACACAUGCAAGUCGAACGGAAAGGCCACAGCUUGCUGUGGUACUCGAGUGGCGAACGGGUGAGUAACACGUGGGUGAUCUGCCCUGUACUUCGGGAUAAGCUUGGGAAACUGGGCCUAAUACCGGAUAGGAAUCACAUGUGGGUGUGUGGUUGGAAAGCUUUUGCGGUAUGGGAUGAGCUCGCGGCCUAUCAGCUUGUUGGUGGGGUAAUGGCCUACCAAGGCGUCGACGGGUAGCCGGCCUGAGAGGGUGUACGGCCACAUUGGGACUGAGAUACGGCCCAGACUCCUACGGGAGGCAGCAGUGGGGAAUAUUGCACAAUGGGCGCAAGCCUGAUGCAGCGACGCCGCGUGGGGGAUGACGGCCUUCGGGUUGUAAACUCCUUUCGUCAGGGACGAAGCGAAAGUGACGGUACCUGGAUAAGAAGCACCGGCUAACUACGUG